Non-coding RNA from Salvelinus sp. IW2-2015, 1000 nucleotides. The record is from RefSeq and is a predicted model, not a curated record. NCBI's taxonomy places the organism in Eukaryota, Metazoa, Chordata, Actinopteri, Salmoniformes, Salmonidae.
CUUUUGUCCCACAUAAAGACAUUCACAGAUGUCUCUCCACGCGAAGAGCCAUCUCCCCCGUUAUGACAGCACAGCACAGCCUGUCUCUGUGACAACCACCGAGUCGCGGUAACAGAGACAGAGACAGAGAUAGACAGAGAGAGGGAGGGAGGGAGGGACAGAUAUAGAGAGGAGGAGAAGGACUACCACGGAGCAAAACACAUCGCCGUCUCUCUCUGACAUCCCCCUCGUUCGCAUGUGUUUGUGUGUGAGCCUGCACGGAGGAGAGAAGGAAAGAAAAUUAAGCCAGAGAAAUUCUUCUUCUGUCUUUUAGUUUCCCUCUUUUCUCCAUCCAUCAUCCAAGGCUUGAAUACCGGUGUCAGCUGCCACAGCGGGAUAAAAUAAAGGGAUGCUUUGAAUGCUGCCUCUGUCUAUGACAAGGCACACAGAGAAGCAGAAAGAGGCACAACAAGCAGGGACAAAAGCAGGACUUUGAUAAUGAAUGGGAGUCCUUCCGUAGCAUGUGGUAGGAAUAGCAGUCCGUCACUGAAGUCUACGAAUAAGGUGCCUGCCCUUACGACGUGACAGUGUACAUGGUCUGGAUACCACCAGCCGUCCUGCAAGCCCUGCUACACUCCAAAGCCAAAGUUCCACUCUUCUUCAUCACCAGCCACAGCGCCCAGCUCUCCAAGUUUGUCCAAUUAAGGGAUGUAUGAGGACUUAAGAGGCCAGGGUUACUAGCAGACCACACUAGAAAAAAACUGACGAGAUCCUUGCUGGCUGCAGACGGGCAGAACACUGUUGAUUGUCUCCGGGUGGUGUUUCCUGGGUGUGUGAGGAGGAGGCAUGGCUGGUUGAGAUGUCGUGGACGAUCACACCACUCUGCUAGACGUGCUGCUGCUGCGCUGUGUGGGCCUGGCUCCUCCAGCUGCACCAUUGAUGGUGCCGUGAUCCAGUUCUAACCGUGGGUAAUGACGAGACAUAAAACCAAUCCUGGAGAUGCCGAAGAGAGAACAUUCUU